RNAcentral lists this long non-coding RNA (1733 nucleotides) under Equus caballus (horse). RNAcentral's name for it is "lncRNA (ENSECAG00000049831.1)". Lineage: Eukaryota; Metazoa; Chordata; Mammalia; Perissodactyla; Equidae. The record is from RNAcentral.
GUUCUAUUACCAAGAGGGAAAACAGGAAUGGGGGAAACCAGCGGUCUCUAACACAACUCUGGUUUUUUGCAAAACCUGCUCUAUUCAAAUCAAAGCCCUUCGUAAGAAGUGUAAAGAAAGGUGGCUGAUAGAGAAGGGGGAAUUUGAAACAGGAAGAGCAAGACAAAGAAGGACAAGGGGGAGAGUAAGGCCGCACAGAUGGGUUCUUAGAUUUUGUUCGCUUCUGGUCAGCUUGUUAUGAGGUUGACAAGGAGGGUAGGGGCACAGGAAUCACGGCCAGCGGGCUUCCUUCUCUGUCGCCAUUUACAAAGGAGUGCGAGAUACUGGCAUCUCCCUUUCCGCGCUCUCUCUGCUCAGCCUAAUGCAGGGCACCAACAGCUAAGUAGGAGUGGGUGGGGCCACUGGAAGGAUUCACCAGGGACAGUCCCGGGAUCUCAGAGGAGCCGCCUGGCAUUGCUUCUGAGCUCUGCUUAGACGGUGCAAUUGGAUCUUGUCUCUGCAGCCACACCCCGUCCCCAGCCGAUGGUCCCCUCUGUCCCAGAUAACUUUGCCCUCCCCCCAUCUUCUCCUCCUGCACUCGAGGGUGGGGCGUGGGAAGGAAACGGCCUUUCUGCCUCUCUCUUGGCUCCCUGAGCAGCAGCAGCAGCUGCAGUUUUCCGAGUUAGGUGCUUGGAAGGGUGGAACACCUGGCUCAGCUUAAACCCUUUGGGUCUAGCCCCUAACCCUUUUGAGAGACGUGGUCGGAUCCCUUUGGGAAACUAUAGGAUCAGAACAAAUUUUAUCUGAGUCACUUUGGUGCAUUUUAAGUCAGUGAUUGUGGGGUUUUCAGUGAGAUUGUUUUUGCUGUUUCAUGUGGUUUUGUUUAUAAACAGACUGUAUUCGAGAGUUUUUAAAUCAAGUAUCUGUUAGACUAUCGCAGUUCUAGCUUAGGUUGCUGAAUUACUUUGAUGUCAUCUAUAAUUCUUCGCCUUCCCAGAGUGCAUAUGCACGUUGAAUUAAUUCAUCUCCCCGCUCCAACCGGAUCACCAAUUCCAUGGCAGGCAGGAACUUCUUUCAUCUUUGUACCCACCUUUGCCUUGGCAACCCCAACACCUGGCCCGAUUCUUCAUGGGUGACCGCAUCAGGGGAAUUAGUUCACGGCUUCAAAGGACCUGCUUUGAAGAACAACCCUCAUCCGGAAGCCUUAGACCUGGUAUAUUUGUUGCAAGGAGGAAAACAGGUUUCAUUGUUUUCAGUCACAUCGCAUUAUGAAGUUCUGGAAUGUUCCAAGUAUAUCUUGUCCAUCAACUAGGCCAACCUUUCUCAUGAAGAAACCGAGACACAGACAACUUACAGGACUUAUUCAAAUCAUUAGUUUAUCAUCAAGGCAUAACUGAACUCACGUCUUCUGAUUCCCUCAAUCUUCAGCUAGUAUUUUUUUUUCUACUACCGUACUGCAUUGCCUCUAGAGACUGCUAAAAACAAGCAAAGAAACAAUGCCUUAUUGAUUGAUUGAUUGAUUGAUUGAUUAGGAGACUUCUUUGACGAAUGAGUAAAAAAAGUCAAUUCCGAGAGGUGGCCAUUACACUUAAAGAUUUGUAAUAAAAGAGUUUCUUUUUCUGACCCAGAUGAACUUUGUAAAAAUGAACAGUAUAAAACUUAACUCAUAUCAUCCAAAAAAUUUUGGCUCUUACUCUCUAGCACCUUAGUAGCUAGGUAUUUUCAAUGAUUUAACUUAGAAAAAUAGCGUCUGG